CUCUGUUUCCCCGCCCCCACUCCCGCUCCCGCGGGACCGCUGGGAUUGGUUGGCACUCCGCCAGCGGACUGUCCAUCACCGAGUGUAAACAAGGCGCUGAUUGGCUGUUGUCCAGUCCGCACUGGGCCUCCUGAAAAAAGCAAUUACUGGCUCCGCGGUUUCAAGGCGGCCCAAGGCCGCUUGAUGAAAGGAGAUAAGCUGGGGACCGUUUCCAGGAUCCCCGCGGGCCGACCCGGGCAGCCCGGGAGCCGAGGUGCGGCGGAGAGCCCGCGGAUCAAAGGAAUCUGGAGAGAAAGGGGAAGCGGGCGGCCGGCCCCGGCCGGCCUUCCCCCCCGCAGGCCACGCCGACCUGGGGUGGGGGGCUGUGGGCCGCGGGUGGGGACUCCGGGAUUUCCCGCCUGCCUGAGUCGGGGCCUGCGCCGGCGCCGGCGCCGGCUUUGGGCGGCGCGGCCAGGAAGGGAGCUCCGGAGAGCCCGGGGCUCGCAGCAGGACUUUUCCAAGCAAAAAGUCUCCUGAGGCGGGUGGUAAAAAAAGCGUCUACAUCCAAGCUCGGAACAAAAGCCCUUUGGAAAUCCCGCGGCGGGGCCGGGCGCGGGCGGAUGCGGCGGGAGGGGCGGCCGAGCGCGCCCAGGACCCGCGUCGGGAGAAGCUGCGCAGCGCCCACCGCGGGGGUCAAGUCCCGGCGGCCCCACCUGCUCCGGAGUCGGGCCUGUCCCUCCGUCUGGGGAGGCGGCCGGAGGCGCCAUCACCGCAAAUUUAUGGCCCGGGUGACGUGCUUCCUACUCCCACAGUGGGGCCCAGUGACAUUAAACAGAAAAUUGACGAGAACGGA
Chlorocebus sabaeus (green monkey) is the source of this 832-nucleotide long non-coding RNA. RefSeq lists it as uncharacterized. The record is from RefSeq and is a predicted model, not a curated record. Lineage: Eukaryota; Metazoa; Chordata; Mammalia; Primates; Cercopithecidae.